RNAcentral lists this long non-coding RNA (1894 nucleotides) under Arachis ipaensis. Its description in RNAcentral is "long non-coding RNA (AIPA_LNC002409)". Lineage: Eukaryota; Viridiplantae; Streptophyta; Magnoliopsida; Fabales; Fabaceae. The record is from RNAcentral.
GGUAGCAAGCGGGUAAGCAUCAGCACUAAGGCUAACAAACCAAUCCCACUUCAAGUUCAACCGAAUUAGUAUCGACGCUGCGUGAACCGCAAGCGAAACGGGCGAGGAUCCUUUCUGGUACGCGAAAUCGGGUUUCCCCAUAACAUGAACAUUCUGUGCGGCUUUGAAAAUAGGGUUCGACUGGACAGUGAGAGCCACGCGCUCGCGGUCCGCAUGGGAAGCGGAAGGGUCGAGAUGGAGGAGGUACUGGUUGAGGGGAUGGUAGGUGGCGUGGAGGAGUCGGAUGAUCCGACCCGAAUCGGAACGUGACCUGUGAAGAUAGCAACAUCAAGCACGAUUUAAGUGAAAAUUAUGUCAAUUGUUUAACAACAAUCACAAUCAUAUCUUUUUCUAUUGAUGUUGAAGUUUAUAGCCUCUAUUACCAAUAACAUGAAAAGCUAAAAGUACAUGCAGACUCAGAGCAAAGGCAUUCAACAAAAUCAUACCUGUAAAAACGCGGAAAGCACUAGGGAGAUCUCUCUUCUGAGUGGCAUAAAACAUGUCAGUCCCUUCAGCAAGAUACAGGCCUGGAUCAACAAUAAUGGGUCUCAACCUCCUCGACCUACAGCAUUAAAAGCUAUGAAAAAUAAGUAUCACGACUAUAGUUCAUUCAGCAUCAAACACUUGAGAAUUGCAAUUCCCUCUCCAAAACACUACAAACAAUAAAAAAGACUUAAUUUCCACACACUAGCAAAUAUAAAAUAACUUCAUAAUGUAAGCUAGUUUUGGGAUCAUGGUGAGAAACUAUUAACCAUGAUAAAUACCUACCUUCUAAAUUUCAAUUAACAGAAGGAGAACUUUGAAACAACAAUUGAGUUGUCUUUAUAUAAUCUCGAAGACAUGGAUUGAAGCCAAUUAGCCAAGUUAGAUGGCCUGCAUUAUAAUCCAUUUGGCUAUGGUCCUUUUCCGGACUCUCCAUAAUCCAGGAUGCUUCGUACCAGGCUUCCCUUAUACUUCUAUUGAGUAUCUGUAUCUAUACUAUAUAUAAUGAGGAUUUUGAAAGUGUUGAUGUCUAACUUUUUUUCCUAAAAUACCUUUCAUUAUAUAUAAUUUACAAAAAAGAAUUAUUAUUUCCAAGAUUUGAAUUCCAGUAGUCAAAUUAUAAACUCAACUAAUCCAACAUUUAUUAUUUUUAUACAUAUUUAAUACAUAAAAGAGUGAAUCAAUAGGCACUACACUAGUGAGUAUAAUGCAAUUUUAAAACAAUAAACGCAUAAAACUGAACAUUAGCUUACUCUUUCCAGCCAAUAUAGCUUGAAUGAUUCACAAAGUUCAUAUCUUUAGGCAGGAAUGACAUGAUGUGAAGAAGAUCUGACAAUACACAAAAAAUAAAAAAAAAAUAAAAAUCAAUGCACCAAUUCAUAUAAACAAAUACAUACAUAACCGAACCCAAAAAAAGAGCCACAAAUGCAGCAAAUAAAAAUACACCAUACCAUACCAUCUUGGGUAGCAAGCGGGUAAGCAUCAGCACUAAGGCUAACAAACCAAUCCCACUUCAAGUUCAACCGAAUUAGUAUCGACGCUGCGUGAACCGCAAGCGAAACGGGCGAGGAUCCUUUCUGGUACGCGAAAUCGGGUUUCCCCAUAACAUGAACAUUCUGUGCGGCUUUGAAAAUAGGGUUCGACUGGACAGUGAGAGCCACGCGCUCGCGGUCCGCAUGGGAAGCGGAAGGGUCGAGAUGGAGGAGGUACUGGUUGAGGGGAUGGUAGGUGGCGUGGAGGAGUCGGAUGAUCCGACCCGAAUCGGAACGUGACCCGGAAAUGAGGUAGGCGAUGGAGGGAGGGGGAGGGUUGGCCUUGGUAGAGUCGUAGAUGAUGCGGUGGUUGUGGGCCUGGUGGGCCGGGAAGAGGAAAG